AUUGAACGCUGGCGGCAGGCCUAACACAUGCAAGUCGAACGGUACAGGAAACAGCUUGCUGUUUCGCUGACGAGUGGCGGACGGGGGAGUAAUGUCUGGGAAACUGCCUGAUGGAGGGGGAUAACUACUGGAAACGGUAGCUAAUACCGCAUAACGUCGCAAGACCAAAGAGGGGGACCUUCGGGCCUCUUGCCAUCGGAUGUGCCCAGAUGGGAUUAGCUAGUAGGUGGGGUAACGGCUCACCUAGGCGACGAUCCCUAGCUGGUCUGAGAGGAUGACCAGCCACACUGGAACUGAGACACGGUCCAGACUCCUACGGGAGGCAGCAGUGGGGAAUAUUGCACAAUGGGCGCAAGCCUGAUGCAGCCAUGCCGCGUGUAUGAAGAAGGCCUUCGGGUUGUAAAGUACUUUCAGCGGGGAUGAAGGGAGUAAAGUUAAUACCUUUGCUCUUUGACGUUACCCGCAGAAGAAGCACCGGCUAACUCCGUG
This 489-nucleotide ribosomal RNA is filed under the name uncultured bacterium. RNAcentral's name for it is "partial 16S ribosomal RNA". It matches the Rfam family "Bacterial small subunit ribosomal RNA", at positions 30 to 507 of the family's 1533-position model. The record is from RNAcentral.